UUUUCCAGCCAAUUGGCCAGUUCUUUCACUCCAAUUUAGCCAUGGGUGGGUUUAAAAUUGAAUUUCGUGUAAAAAGAAAAUUUUUUACCGUUUUGGGCAGUCGGAAAGGGUUCCAGUGCGGCGGCGGGUGGCGGCGGUCGGCUCCCCGGCGACUGGGUUGUCUUCUCCGGUGAGGGUUUCGGGCAGCUAGGGUUAGGGUUUGGGUGCGAAUGGGGUUAUUUAUAC
RNAcentral lists this long non-coding RNA (225 nucleotides) under Carica papaya (papaya). RNAcentral describes it as "long non-coding RNA (CPAP_LNC015990)". The record is from RNAcentral. Lineage: Eukaryota; Viridiplantae; Streptophyta; Magnoliopsida; Brassicales; Caricaceae.